Molecule: long non-coding RNA, 957 nt
Organism: Lutzomyia longipalpis
Lineage: Eukaryota; Metazoa; Arthropoda; Insecta; Diptera; Psychodidae
Exons: 2
Source: RefSeq, a predicted model, not a curated record
UAGAAAUUUUUGCUGAAAAUUCCCGGAAGAAUUAUUAAGUUAUUUCCGUUUAUGUUACGGUGCAACUAGAAGUGUUCAUUUAUCAGAAUUUCCUUUAUGAAUAUUUUGACAAUUUUGACAGCUAACUUAGGCAUGGCCUGUUGAUUAAUACUACCAAAACCUGGAGCUUUUUGACAAAUUGUUUUAAGUUAGGAUGAAAGCUUUGAUAUUGUUACGAGCGCCACUUUUGGAGAGUGAGUAGCAAAUCAUCACGAAAGUUGCAGAACCGGAUUGCCGUACGGUUCAUGAGAGCCAAGAGAAAAGAACACGAAUCGAAUAAGAGAGUCUGCCUUGGUCUAUCAUAACGCGCGCACGCGAGCAAAGUGAGUGAGCAAAUAUUCUACGUGAAGUGAGCAAGGACCUUCCGGAACUACCCUCAAGGAAGCUACGCAUUGUGAGGAAACUCUACAGGCAUCCCCCGGCACCUCCAGACGCCCCUCGACGCCACUUGCCCAUUGAGAACUGCCACGUGGCCCUUGGCGCCUCAGCAUGCCCACGUUCUAGCCCAACCGCUAACGCCCACGCUACUGAUGUGCGCCCCAUUACCACAAGAGACCCGUGGGGCCCUGCCAUUGGGGAAUGUCUCCCCACCGAGGCCCUCAGGCCGCCUUUCCGGACAAUCUCUGGCCGCCACGUGGAGUGCCUCCAGCCUCGUCGAUGAGGACGUCCUUUUGGUGGCACUUUCGGCUUUCACCCUUCAUCGGGUCACGCCUUAUGCCAUCCGAGGGAAGCAGGAGCUUCCCUUCCUUCGCGGGAAUUACCAUUCAUCCUCCCGGAAAUGCCACACCGUAGUGAUGACGACACAGUGCUCUCUCUCUCGCUCUUCAAGCGAUCGCGUUAUUGUAAUCGCCACAAAUACACCGGGCGACAAACUUUAUGUGCAAUAGACGGAAUAAAUGUAAUUGUGUACCGUGGAAA